Molecule: long non-coding RNA, 280 nt
Organism: Mus musculus (house mouse)
Lineage: Eukaryota; Metazoa; Chordata; Mammalia; Rodentia; Muridae
Product: predicted gene, 46937
Exons: 2
Source: RefSeq, a predicted model, not a curated record
ACCUAACUACACUGCAUAACUAAGUUAAUGUCCUAUCCAGAGUCACUUCUACUCUUAGGAAAGAAGAUCAGAUAGUAUGUAUGUAUACACAUCCAGGUGCUCAAAUUUCAGGCACUUUGAACUACACGCUCUGUUUAGCACAGAUGGGCAGUGAGCCAGGAAGAAACCAUGACAUCUCACUGCUAUUGAAGACUUUAAACUCUUGCCAGCCUUAAACAAAAGCAAACGUUCUACAACGGAUCUGCUACUGUCAAUCAAUAAAGACUGAUUGGCUGAUUCA